RNAcentral lists this ribosomal RNA (497 nucleotides) under uncultured bacterium. RNAcentral describes it as "partial 16S ribosomal RNA". It matches the Rfam family "Bacterial small subunit ribosomal RNA", at positions 28 to 507 of the family's 1533-position model. The record is from RNAcentral.
GACGAACGCUGGCGGCGUGCCUAAUACAUGCAAGUUGAGCGCUGAAGGUUGGUACUUGUACCAACUGGAUGAGCAGCGAACGGGUGAGUAACGCGUGGGGAAUCUGCCUUUGAGCGGGGGACAACAUUUGGAAACGAAUGCUAAUACCGCAUAAAAACUUUAAACACAAGUUUUAAGUUUGAAAGAUGCAAUUGCAUCCCUCAAAGAUGAUCCCGCGUUGUAUUAGCUAGUUGGUGAGGUAAAGGCUCACCAAGGCGAUGAUACAUAGCCGACCUGAGAGGGUGAUCGGCCACAUUGGGACUGAGACACGGCCCAAACUCCUACGGGAGGCAGCAGUAGGGAAUCUUCGGCAAUGGACGAAAGUCUGACCGAGCAACGCCGCGUGAGUGAAGAAGGUUUUCGGAUCGUAAAACUCUGUUGGUAGAGAAGAACGUUGGUGAGAGUGGAAAGCUCAUCAAGUGACGGUAACUACCCAGAAAGGGACGGCUAACUACGUG